GAGAGCAAAGUCUAGAGCUCUUUGCGAAACAUGCCUCUUGUCUGACAUCCCUAACUGAUCCAAGAUUUAUGUCACACUUGUGGACACUCUCAGGUGAGUCCAAAAAUACGUUAACAUGACCCGUCUUGAGUUGGGCCGUCUAUUCAAAUGCCAACCUCUCUGCUAACUGCCUUUCAGAUUUACCUGUUCAGAUAUCGGUAGAAACUACAGCAGAUAUGCAAGCCAGAAAUAUGAGGCAAGGUCCCUACAACACAGCCGGACUCCCAUUAAGUAGAGGGUCUUCUUUCCAAGAUACAGAGACAGACUCCUCCGGAGCCCCUCUGCUUAAAAUGCAUUGCUGAGAAACGUAGACCUGGCAAAUCCGCAGAAGCAGUGAGGUCUUUAAGUGUGCCUCACGAGAGACCAGUUCAGAAGCGAUGGACGAUGGAGUCAGAUGCAAGCCAUCCCACAACUGUGCCAUCCAAGGAAUCCUUGAUUUCUCUUGCCAUUUUUCCAAGGUUGAUCCUGCUGUAGACUUGCUUUUUUUAAGAUGACUAUUGGUGCUUUUUUGACCAUUUCCUUGGCGAUGUUGAUCUCUUGCUUCAGAAGGGAACAGAAAUGAUGUAGCAGUUACAGCUUUUUGCACAUAUCCUUUCCUUUAACCAUUCUAGCUCUCCCCUUACCCUUGUCAAAUUAAAACCGACCUCUGCAUUUCCCUUUCCAGAAUAAAAAAGAUCUUCUGCCUUUCGGGCUUAUUCAUCCAACAGGCUUAUCUGUUACUGACUUGACAUUCAUUUUCUCAUUUGGAAUUCAGAUUUGAUUGUUCUCAUGCAAUUCCCCAUAGGACUUAAAAAAUGCACUCUUCAUUGUAAAUAGUUCGCCAGGACUCUUGAGGGUGAGACGUUGUUGAUUUAGGAAGAUGACAAUUCCUCCGUUUGAAAUCUUCAAAAACUCUCGCUGUCUUUCCUGUAGUUUAAUUUUAUUCUCUUUUCUUUUUUCCCCUGCCUCGUUUGAACCAUAGGGGUGCCUAAAUUGGAAAUGGAAAGUUUGAUUUGGGGAGGGGGGGAGCUGUUACUGCAUCUUAGGGUAUUUUGAUUUCUACAGUGCUUUGGUGGUGUUUUUUUUUUUUUAAGCAAAUAAAAUUGUACUUAAACAAUGAAUGUUGAAAAGUCACCCCCUUUGUCUCAUACAAAGGGACUAAUUUAAUGGCUAGACGUUGUGAGAGGUUGUAAUUCAAACAAAACUGGAGAAUACACCAGGGCAGAGAAAUAUAAUUUAAAGGAUGGCACCUGAGAAAGGAAUAGAUUGUUCUCCUUUCUUUUCUUUUCUUUUUUUUUUAGUAAAUAAAGAUUUUGCACAGUG
Molecule: non-coding RNA, 1341 nt
Organism: Thamnophis sirtalis
Lineage: Eukaryota; Metazoa; Chordata; Lepidosauria; Squamata; Natricidae
Source: RefSeq, a predicted model, not a curated record